Molecule: long non-coding RNA, 3790 nt
Filed under: Homo sapiens (human)
Lineage: Eukaryota; Metazoa; Chordata; Mammalia; Primates; Hominidae
Description: HSALNT0312745
Source: RNAcentral
AUGAGUCUGAACAUGGCUUAUGGGGUUUUGAAGGAUCUGGCUCUAGUCUCAUCUUGACAUCCUUUUUCUCUUGCUUACUACGCUCUAGCCACUCCAGUGCUUUUCAUGCACUGGGGCUGUUGUGCAUGCUUUUAUCUUUGCCUGGAGUAGUUCCCUGGUAUCCAUCUCCUGUUUAUUUUCUGGUCCUCAGUGUAAAAGCCCCUUCUCCUUAUCUUCGCUGGUCUAAAAUCAGUUCCUCAGGAACGCUUGCUCAAGGCUUCCUCUUUUUAUCCUUUACUUACUUAUAAUCUGUAGUUAAAAGUUGCAAUUGUAUUUGUGUUUUAUAUUCUGAAAUACAACUUACCUAUUUUUCUUUUGAUUUUACCUUUAGGAGCUAUUUCAUUGCAUAAGUGUACAUAUGUAAAUUCUGUGCUAUAAACAUUGUUAAUGGUCGUUUUACUUUUGUUUUGUAAAGAAUAUCCUGUUUGAACCUUAUGUCCUUGAAAGAAAAUGAAGAUUUUUACUACUACCUUAACCAAUACAGAUAUAGUGAUAAUAGCUUGAGCUAGUGAGUGGAUGAAAUUAGAAUAGAUGUGCUUUGGCAUUCAGGCUCUGCUGUUUCCGAGCAUGAGCUGCUCCUUACUGAGCAGUGCCGGCAUUGUUUUGUUGUUUACUUUAUUGAAAUCUUACCGCCCCUAAACUAGCAUCAACAUGUAGUACUAUUUAUUUACAACAUACAAGUUAAGGAAAUGAAGUCUCUUUAUGGUUAUUUCCUCUAGCAGAAGAUAAUAGCACAACCUGCUUCAGUAUUUACGCUUUUUAAAAUAAAACACAAUUUCACCUUUUCCUCAUCAGCCCAUCAGAAGUUUCUCUGGCUGCCUUUCUUCCUCUCCUUCUCUUUCUUUCUCAUUACCUUUCCUUUUCUCCCCGUACUCCAAUAGAUAUCAGCUGUACAUUUGGUGAUUAAGCUUUGUGAUAUUUGAAAGAAGAUAGCCAAAAACCAGAAAUAAAAGUCAAGGGCUAGGCAUGGUGACUGUCCUGUAAUCUCAGCACUUUGGGAGGCUGAGGUGGCAGAAUCACUUAAGCACUGGAGUUUAAGACCACCCUAGGUAACAUAGCGAAACCCUUUCUCUACAACAAAAUUAAAAUGAAAUUACCUGGGCAUAGUGGUGCAUGCCUGCAGUCUUUGAUACUUGGGAGGUGAGGUGGGAGGAUUGCUUGAGCCCAAGAGUCCGAGGCUGCAGUGAGCUAUGAUCAUGCUGCUGCACUCCAGCCUGGGCAACAGAGUGAGACACAGUCUAAAAAAAAAACAGUCCAGGAUUUUAUUUUUUAUUGGUACUUAUCAGUUUUAGGAAAGAUGUAAGGGAAUAGUUGUCUCUAUGUUCUUUCUAAAAGUCUUAAUUUACAGACUCCAGGUGCCUCCAGUGACUGAAGUGUAAAAUAUUAAAAGAUCAUAGCCAAUGCAAAAAUAGGAAUGUCAGAAUCAAAUAUCCUGAGAAGAAGCUAUCAGUAGUGUCUAGAGUCUUAGAUAGUAUUCUCUUAACUGAUAAAGACCUGAAAAUAUCUUCUAUCAAGGCAGGAGUGAAGCAUUCUAUUCUUGGUUUCUGUGUUUUUCUUCCCCACACCACACAUCCCUCCUUCUCCCUCCCCCUCCCCCUCCCCCUCCCUCAUAACAUAAAAGCAGGCAGGAUUCUGAGGCAGGGAAGGAUUUGAGUCUAUGUCAGGAAAAGUGUAGCCGUGGUUUUAUUUUAGGACCCUACUCUUUUGUCUUCCCUGUGGUUGGCUCUUUUCCCUGCUAUGCUGAUUAUUUUAGCAGGUAGAAAAAAGUGGCUGCUGCUAGAAAGUUUCCUUAAGAAAUGUGAAUAUUUUAGGCUAUUUGAGCAUAAACGUAGCUAAUUCAGACACACUGGGAACAAACCAGAAGGAGACUUGGUUCUUUUCCAUUCUUUCUGCAGGGUACAUUAACAUCCCAUAGAAAGUAGAGAUAUGCUUCUUGUAUUGUGUGUGUUUUUAAGUUAUGUUACCUUAUAGAUAUGAACUGGCUCAAAUAAAUAUCUACUAGGUUAUUUUCUUAUUUAUUUACAUGUUAUGUGUGUGUGUAUGCAUGUGUGUGUAUCACAUCUAAAGUCCAAAAGUUUAUACCGGUUGAUCAUAUAUUAUUUAAUAUUUUGGUUUUCAGAAAUUCAUAAUCUCAACACACCUAAAAUUUAUAGACAAUAGGGCAAGAAUACACAUUUCUAGACUGUGCAAGUGGGAAGUUUACUUUAAAAAUAGAUAUGAAAUACUGUUUCUGUAUUAAAUAUAUGAAUAUUACAUGUUAGGAGCAGGAGGCUUUAUGAACAAAUGUUGAUGCCUAAGUAAUAUGCUUGUGAGAAUCCUGGUAUGGUUAGGCUUUGUGUCCUCACCCAGAUCUCAUCUUGAAUGUAAUCUCCAUAAUCCCCAUAAUCUCCACGUGUCAAAGGAGAGAUCAGGUGGAGGUAAUUGAAUCAUGGGGGCAUUUCCCCCAUGUUUUCUCAUGAUAGUGAGUGAGUUCUCACAAGAUCUGAUGGUUUUAUAAGGGGCUUGUCCUCCUUCGCUCGGGACUUCUCUUUCCUGCCACCUUGUGAAGAAGGUGCCUUGCUUCCUCUUUGCCUUCUGCCAUGAUUGUAAGUUUCCUGAGGCCUCCCCAGCUAUGUGGAACUGUGAGUCAGUUAAGCCUUUUUCCUUUAUAAAUUACCUAGCCUUGGGCAGUUCUUUAUAGCAGUAUGAAAAUGGACUAAUACAGAUCCUAUAUUAAAAAUAAGUCUGGGUCAGGCACAGUGGCUCAUGCUUGUAAUUUUCGUACUUUGGGAGGCCAAGACAGGAAGAAUGCUUGAGGUCAGGAGUUCAAGAGCAGCCUGGGCAACAUAGUGAGACCCCCAUCUUUAUUUAAAAAAUGAAAAUAAAAAUAGCCAGGCAUGAUGGCUCUCACCUGAAGUCCCAGCUACUCAGGAGGCUGAGGCAGGAAGACUGCCUGAGCCCAGGCAACCUGGAGGCUGCAGUGAGGCCAGGAGGUUUCAGUGAGCCAUGGUCAUGCCACUGUACUCCAGCCUUGGUGACAGAGUGAAACGCUGUCUCAGAUAAUAAUAAUAAUGUCUGGCACACCAUAUAUGCUAAAUUAACUAAUUUAACAAAAGUUUGAGUACCUACUGGAUACCCAACCUUCCUGAACCCUGGGAAUGAAGCAGUGAAGAAAACAGAUAAGACACCAACCCUCACAGCCCUAUACUUUGGUGAGGAAGACCAACAAUACAAAGUACAUUUCUAGGUAGCAACAAGUACUAUGAAGAAAAAGGCAACCAGCUAGAAAGAUUCAGUGUUAUGUUGUAAAGUGGCUGUCUAUUAGUGUGUGGUCAAGAUAAGCGUUCUGAAAAGGUGAUAUUUAAGCAGAGACCUGAAUGAAGUGACGUGCAAUAUCAUAUUCUGAGAAUAAGCAAACAGUGAGGAGAAAAGCAAUUGUGAAGUCCCUGCAGGGGCAGUGGGGUUGGUGUGUUUAAAGGAAGGCCAGGGAGAUGUAGAUUGGUAAGUGAGGGAGAAUUUCAGGAGACUCCAGAGAGUUUGGCAGUUGUCAGAUCAUAUAAAACCUUGUAGGCCCUUGUAAGGAGAUUCAGUUUUCUUCUGUUUUAUUCAGUUUAUUCUGUGUUUGAUGGGGAGCUGUUUUAACAGCUUUUAAAAGGUUUGGAUCAGGGAAAUGGUAUGACAUUACUGAAAAGAUCAUUUUUUCUGUUCUAGAAGGAAGAGAGAUGUUGAGCAGAUGUAGAACUGGUGGGCAGAUUUAAGAUAUUUGUAUUGC